RNAcentral lists this ribosomal RNA (730 nucleotides) under Karenia brevis. RNAcentral's name for it is "partial Bacterial large subunit ribosomal RNA". It matches the Rfam family "Bacterial large subunit ribosomal RNA", at positions 13 to 761 of the family's 2925-position model. The record is from RNAcentral. Lineage: Eukaryota; Dinophyceae; Gymnodiniales; Kareniaceae.
AAGGGCGUAUGGGGAAUGCCUAGGCUCUCAGAGGCGAUGAAGGACGUGAUAAGCUGCGAUAAGCUACGAUUAGGUGCAAAUAACCUUUAAGUCGUAGAUUUCCGAAUGGGGCAACCCAACUGGUUGAAGACCAGUUACCACUUCGGUGGAGCUAACCCGGUGAACUGAAACAUCUAAGUAGCCGGAGGAAAAGAAAAUAAUAAUGAUUCCCCUAGUAGUGGCGAACGAACGGGGAAUAGCCCAAACCAUUAAUGUUUCGGCAUUAGUGGGGUUGUAGGACUGUAACAUGGAAUUUAAAUGUAUAAUAGAAUCUUCUGGAAAGUUGAACCAUAGAGGGUGAUAGUCCCGUAAAUGAAAUGCAUUUAAUACCUAACAGUAUCCUGAGUAGCACGAAACAUGUGAAAUUUUGUGUGAAUCUGCCAGAACCAUCUGGUAAGGCUAAAUACUCCUGAGAGACCGAUAGUGAACUAGUACCGUGAGGGAAAGGUGAAAAGUACCCUGAACAAGGGAGUGAAAUAGAACCUGAAACCAUACGCUUACAAGCGGCAGGAGCCUUCGGGUGACUGCGUGCCUUUUGCAUAAUGAUCCUACGAGUUACUCCUCAUUAGCAAGGUUAAGUAGUUAAGCUACGUAGCCGAAGCGAAAGCAAGUCUGAAUAGGGCGUACAGUUAGUGGGGGUAGACGCGAAACUUGGUGAUCUACCCAUGGGCAGGUUGAAGUCUCAGUAACA